This 242-nucleotide long non-coding RNA is filed under the name Olea europaea (common olive). RNAcentral's name for it is "long non-coding RNA (OEUR_LNC002672)". The record is from RNAcentral. Lineage: Eukaryota; Viridiplantae; Streptophyta; Magnoliopsida; Lamiales; Oleaceae.
UUGACAUAGAACCUAGAGAUCAACCUGAUUCUAGGCAUGUUCAAGAGGAGCAUCAUACAGACACUCAAGAUGAGAGUGAUGAUGGGCUUGAACAAGAGGCGGUUCAGCAAGAGAAUAUACAGGCACAGCAACAACAGUAGCUUGCAGAUAACUUGGCUUCCUCUAGGCCACGCCGUACUUACAAGCAAGUUCUAAAGUUGGGGUUAGACGAGCCUUUGAGGCACUAUGGGCAGACAAAUUUG